CAAAACUGCACAGGAUCUUUUCAGGGGGCAAGACAAAGAUGCCACAUUUAUUCUGAUAACAAUCUGAUCUAUGAUCAAUAACUAUUAUCUACACACACACAGACACACACACACACACACCCCACAUGUUCUGUUACCAGUCCCUUGAUUUCCCAGCUUGGGUUCGUAGCUCGGGGCGGUCACUGGCCAGGAAAGCUGGGCACAAGGACGAGCUGGGUCUCUGUUGGGCCUGAACUGAUGCCCGUCCAUGUUGGCAGCAGAACGUUCCCCUCCAGCGUCUCCCAUCUCACCCUCCUUUCUGUGGGCUUUAGUCUGAAUCCAGAGUCUAUCGGUCUCGCUGUGUCACUGCCCUGGGUGUGGUGACUGAUCACCCGUCAUUGCAGGCGACUGUCAGCCUGGGACCUGGCUUUGACCUUCCCUCUAUUGCACCUUCUCUGUUUAGCGUGGACUCUGCUUACUUAGUUAGGGCUCUGGGCUGCAGCUUCAGCUGGGGGGCGUUGAACUCCGUUUCAUCAGGACAGGCUGGGCUGGAGGUUGAGUCCAUCAUCCAUCCACACCUCAGUCACACAGCGAAACUAACUGAGAAGAGCACAGCAGGGUUUGCACAAAUGGAGCUUGGAGGAAGCUUUUACAAAGUGGAGUGAGCGUUUGAAAUCGGGGGUUGGAUUACAGUGUGGCAAACAGAACAGAAGGUACAACGCAGGCGAGUGUAGUGGAUGGUGAACCGUGAACAGAAGGUACAAUGUAGACGAGUGUAGUGAAUGGUGAACCUUGAACAGAAGGUACAAUGUAGACGAGUGUAGUGGAUGGUGAACCGUGAACAGAAGGUACAACGCAGACGAGUGUAGUGGAUGGUGAACCGUGAACAGAAGGUACAACGCAGGCGAGUGUAGUGGAUGGUGAACCGUGAACAGAAGGUACAACGCAGGCGAGUGUAGUGGAUGGUGAACCGUGAACAGAAGGUACAAUGUAGACGAGUGUAGUGGAUGGUGAACCGUGAACAGAAGGUACAACGCAGGCGAGUGUAGUGGAUGGUGAACCGUGAACAGAAGGUACAACGCAGGCGAGUGUAGUGGAUGGUGAACCGUGAACAGAAGGUACAACGCAGGCGAGUGUAGUGGAUGGUGAACCGUGAACAGAAGGUACAACGCAGGCGAGUGUAGUGGAUGGUGAACCGUGAACAGAAGGUACAACGCAGACGAGUGUAGUGGAUGGUGAACCGUGAACAGAAGGUACAACGUAGACGAGUGUAGUGGAUGGUGAACAGUGAACAGAAGGUACAAUGUAGACGAGUGUAGUGGAUGGUGAACCGUGAACAGAAGGUACAAUGUAGACGAGUGUAGUGGAUGGUGAACAGUGAACAGAAGGUACAACGUAGACGAGUGUAGUGGAUGGUGAACAGUGAACAGAAGGUACAAUGUAGACGAGUGUAGUGAAUGGUGAACAGUGAACAGAAGGUACAACGUAGACGAGUGUAGUGAAUGGUGAACAGUGAACAGAAGGUACAACGCAGGCGAGUGUAGUGGAUGGUGAACAGUGAACAGAAGGUACAACGCAGGCGAGUGUAGUGGAUGGUGAACAGUGAACAGAAGGUACAACGCAGGCGAGUGUAGUGGAUGGUGAACAGUGAACAGAAGGUACAAUGUAGACGAGUGUAGUGAAUGGUGAACAGUGAACAGAAGGUACAACGUAGACGAGUGUAGUGGAUGGUGCACAGUGAACAGAAGGUACAACGCAGGCGAGUGUAGUGGAUGGUGAACAGUGAACAGAAGGUACAACGCAGGCGAGUGUAGUGGAUGGUGAACAGUGAACAGAAGGUACAAUGUAGACGAGUGUAGUGAAUGGUGAACAGUGAACAGAAGGUACAACGUAGACGAGUGUAGUGGAUGGUGAACAGUGAACAGAAGGUACAACGCAGGCGAGUGUAGUGGAUGGUGAACAGAAGUUACAUUAAUACAGUGAACAAUUAAAAACAAUUUGAUUUAUCAGUUGUACAGGCCGGG
Molecule: long non-coding RNA, 2003 nt
Organism: Gopherus flavomarginatus (Mexican gopher tortoise)
Lineage: Eukaryota; Metazoa; Chordata; Testudines; Testudinidae
Exons: 9
Source: RefSeq, a predicted model, not a curated record